This 249-nucleotide unclassified non-coding RNA is filed under the name Ascomycota sp. RNAcentral's name for it is "partial contains small subunit ribosomal RNA, internal transcribed spacer 1, and 5.8S ribosomal RNA". The stretch from base 1 to 47 matches the Rfam family "Eukaryotic small subunit ribosomal RNA", at positions 1785 to 1831 of the family's 1831-position model. The record is from RNAcentral. Lineage: Eukaryota; Fungi; Ascomycota.
AAAGUCGUAACAAGGUUUCCGUAGGUGAACCUGCGGAAGGAUCAUUACCGAGUGAGGGCCCUCUGGGUCCAACCUCCCACCCGUGUUUAUUUACCUUGUUGCUUCGGCGAGCCUGCCUUUUGGCUGCCGGGGGACAUCUGUCCCCGGGUCCGCGCUCGCCGGAGACACCUUAGAACUCUGUCUGAAGAUUGUAGUCUGAGAUUAAAUAUAAAUUAUUUAAAACUUUCAACAACGGAUCUCUUGGUUCCG